UGCUCCUGAGGAUUACAGGCAGCUACUGAACUCUUUAGAACUCUGUUUGAAACAGAGCAGGGACAUGAUCAAUUUGCUCUUCAGACAGAUAACUCGAACCCCUAUGAGGAAAAUCAGUUUGGUUGGGAACAAUACGGGUGGCCAGAAGAGUUGGUGUCUGUAGAGAAGGCAAGAAAUAACAACGGGUGGAGAGAUGUGAGAGACGGAGGAGGUAAAGUGUGUGACUGGUGGCAUAUGGGAGAUGAAGGAGAAGAGGGUUCAGGAUGACUCACAGUCGCUUAGAUGUGGGUGCCACUCAUUGGUUGGGGACAGAGAAACAGAACAGGGUGAAGACAAUUAAUUGAACUUGAGAUACGUGGGAUCUGAGAUGCCCGGUCAGCUGUCUACAUGAUGUCAAAUGGGCCAGUGGAUACGUGGAUCUGGGUGCCAGUUGUGAGUCAUCUAUGCUGGAGAUGGUCUCGGUUGAUGCCCUCAUGGGGUGAGAUGAUGCUUAGGGAGAGGGUACUGAGAGAGGACCUCUAGGGUAAUUCCUGGAGGGACAACCAGAGACAAAGAACCCCCAGGGAGACUCAGAAAUCAUGGGAAGAAUGGGGAAAGGAAAAGCAACCAGAUAAAUAGAGGCAGCCAUGAUGUUAUGUGAUGCUAAGAAACGAGAAAGCUGAAGCCUGAGAAGCAUCCUUUAAAUGCAGCACCACUACUCCUGCUUUCGGAAACCAGGAGCAACACGAGAUGGUCACUGGUUGCUGAAUGAAAUAAAUCAUCUGUCUCAUUAGUCCGGACAAGCACGAAGAAAGAGCAGCGUCGUCUGACAACCACAGUGUGAGAAGCAGCAUCAGACAGCAGCAUUAAAUGGCAUCUUAGUAUACAUACUUAGUACAUUUAGGACACGCUAUGCAGAGAGAGACUGCAGAGGUUCCAAAGCUCUACUGUGGAAGUGACUUACAAACACACAGCAAAACAAUCAAGAUGAAAGAAACCCCAAGAAAUCAGUUCUCUUUUAAAUUGAAAACAAGCAGGAAAUGGCACUGAUGGAGCUAAAGCUGGGCUUAAUGGUUUACAGUGGAAGAUGGCACCCGCUGACCCUCAGGGUCACCUCCUCACAAUGCCCUCAGGCCGGCUGACGGCAGCCCACCCCUCUGCUCCUUCCAUGACUUGACCUGUAACAGCACAAUCAAAAUACCCAGAAGAAGGGGCGCCUGGGUGGUUCAGUCGGUUAAGCGUCCGACUUCGGUUCAGGUCAUGAUCUCAUGGUUUGUGAGUUCGAGCCCCGCAUCGGGCUCUCUGCUGUCAGCAUGGAGCACACUUCAGAACCCGUGUCCCCCUCU
Molecule: long non-coding RNA, 1325 nt
Organism: Neofelis nebulosa (Clouded leopard)
Lineage: Eukaryota; Metazoa; Chordata; Mammalia; Carnivora; Felidae
Exons: 3
Source: RefSeq, a predicted model, not a curated record